Molecule: unclassified non-coding RNA, 391 nt
Filed under: Hevea brasiliensis (rubber tree)
Lineage: Eukaryota; Viridiplantae; Streptophyta; Magnoliopsida; Malpighiales; Euphorbiaceae
Source: RNAcentral
UAUUAUGGGUCUCAUGGCAUUUAGACCACACUCAUCAUUUAUUGUAUAUAUUUAAUUUUUACAUUUAUUGUUAUUUGUAUUAAUAUUUAUAUUUCAUUAUCAAAGUUAAUAUAACAGUGAUAUGAUUUAAUAUAAUAUUGUUGAUUGAUUAUUAUAAAUUGAGCUAUAUUAUUAAUGUUAAAAGUUCUUGUGUUUGUGUAUAAAUAUUGUAGCAGUGGAUGGUUUGAGGGAGGAUAUUGGAAGUGUUGUUUUAUAUGCAAGAACAUUAUUUUGCUUUUAUUAGUAGGUAUGAUAUGUCCUGUUAUAGAAGGUAUUCUGCUGAAAUUUUCUUAAUUAUUAAGUUUGUAUAAUGAAAUUUUUAAAUUUUAUUUUCCUAGUUUCAUUAUUACUU